ACUGCUUAUUGCUAUCAAAAUCCCUCACCUUAAUCUUCCCCAGUAACCACUUCAAUAGCUUCGUGCGUUCACAGACCAACUCGGCAACUAACGGUUUCACUUCAAUCAAAUUCUCAAUAGUCGCUAGGGUAUUGUAAACGGCAGCCAUCUCAUCCGGGUCCGUCUCCGACAAUCGAUGUAAGUUCUGCACCAACAGAUCAAGAACAUUGUUCUCAAUCAGGGCGUCGACCAAUACGCG
Molecule: unclassified non-coding RNA, 238 nt
Filed under: Hevea brasiliensis (rubber tree)
Lineage: Eukaryota; Viridiplantae; Streptophyta; Magnoliopsida; Malpighiales; Euphorbiaceae
Source: RNAcentral